UUGAGUAAACUGUGAUUUUCUGAAAAUGUGUUGUGUCUGAGUAAAAACUAUGUCAUCACCGGUAAUAGAAGUAAACAGUAGAAACCAAAAUGGCGGACAGUGACCUACUUCUGUGAUGGAUUAAAAUGAGUUUUCGUUAACAUAUAAGGGAUGUUUACAAGUGUGAAUGCAUGUUGGCCUGGAUGCUGCAAUGCCUCCCAUAUCUUCCGAAUGUCCAAGCUUGGACAGCAUAUGGCCAAUCACCAUCAAGAUUGCACUUUUAAAUCUUUUGGUUCAAUAUAUGUAAUCCUCAAUGUUGAUUAUGUCCACUACUAUUAAAACAAUCAGUGUUUAUCCCCAAGGUCAAGUUUACAUUAUUAAAAAAGAACUUUAAUUUUGAGACAUUUUCAUGGUUACAAGUUAUCAAAAUAAUGUUAAUGGUAAAUACUACUGCUUUACAUACUUAUAACUUGUUUCCAGCAGACCACAUAUCUUAUUUUGGUUUAAAAUUGCCAUAUUUCUUUCAAUGAUUAUGCAAUUUUUAAUUAACUAUUAUAGUACAUGUAACUAUCUACAAUGAGGUGUUAUAUUCUUUUCAGAUCCUGAACGUGGAUAUCUUUUAGGAGAUAGUGGAAACCCUGUCCGGCCUUUCCUGCUGACCCCGUUCCUUCAGCCAGACAGAAGCUCAGGAAAGGUACAAUGCUGCGCACAUCGGCACCGGGAACGGUAUUGAAAGGGCCUUUGGGGUUUGAAAGAGAACCUUUCAUGUCCUCCAGGG
Dreissena polymorpha is the source of this 757-nucleotide long non-coding RNA. RefSeq lists it as uncharacterized. The transcript has 3 exons. Lineage: Eukaryota; Metazoa; Mollusca; Bivalvia; Myida; Dreissenidae. The record is from RefSeq and is a predicted model, not a curated record.